UUCCCUUCUAAAUUCGAUUUCUAAGUAAAGGAAAAGUAGUUUAUCGUCACAAGCUGGACAUUAUCUUCUUGGAAUAUUUACAUUUAACACUAAAAUAUGUGUAUAAGCUAACAUUAAAAAAUGUGAACGAUUGACUUCGUCCUCAAAAGGCUGGAUAAUAUUUUAUUUUUUCUAGUUAUUUAUUUUCUGACAAAAAAUAUUCAAACCUAUUCAUCAAAAACAAAAUUUAAAAUAAUUUUUCACAAAAAAAACUUUUUUUUCAAUUGCACAUUUGCUGGCUCUUUUACCCUAUAUUUAGCGUCAGAGGGGUAAAGCGACCAAAUAGCGGGGUCCACGGUCCAACCAAUGUGAGUAUCGCGGCCCAUACAUACAAUUUGACAAUCUUGCCAUCAGGCUGGUGGUUGUUUAUUUUAAAACUGUCACUGCUUGUUGGGAGGAGAUUGCUGUGAUGGAACAAAAAUCACCUUCCACUAUCAUAACGCCUCAUCGAAGGCGUUACGGUUGUACUUUUGGUUGGUACAUAGACUAAAUAUAUAUAGAUACGCCACUCCCCUGAUGGGGCUGGCGACACUACCGCCACGCCAAAAUUGCACCUGGUGGCAAUUCACAGGUACAACUUUUCGAUGUUUCCAAAGGGAAAGUGAGUUUUCCCCAGUUUCAGUUCAAGUGUUUCGGUUGCAUCGUAGUAACAGCUGCUUUUAAAACUUUGUUUAUUUUCUGUCAACAUUUCAACUUCAACUUCAAAGCGUUGGAUCCAAGUUGGAUCCUACAAUAUCAACUCGUUGCGGGCGUUUCCGACCACCAAAAAUCCCGCGCGCAGAACCUCCGACGAUACGGAGUGUUCGCAGUGGAGACGUAUCAGCAAGCAUCGUUAAGGUGGACCUGUCACCAAUUCAACCACGGCAAGAGGAAACUGCACAGCGAUCUAGAUGACCUUCGGCGCUUCUAGCAGCCACGGAUUCCUUCGUGGGAACAGAACUCUAGGAAAGCUUUUCUCGGGUCUGAUUCCUCAAGAACCACUCUGCGUGGCUACCUCCGUUGCCGGAAUAGUCGCCCAUUUGUCGGGCAAAUUGGAACACGUCUAAUCUAAAUCACAUCACAUGCUAGACACUACGAUGAACCAAAUUGCAUCGAUUUUUGCUGCAACGUGUUUCUUUUAGUAUUUUAUUGAUUUUUAAGCAUUCAAUAUAAUAAUCAUGACUCAAAUAGAAAUAUUAUCAAACAA
This is a long non-coding RNA of Culex pipiens pallens (northern house mosquito), 1225 nucleotides long. RefSeq lists it as uncharacterized. NCBI's taxonomy places the organism in Eukaryota, Metazoa, Arthropoda, Insecta, Diptera, Culicidae. The record is from RefSeq and is a predicted model, not a curated record. The transcript is spliced from 2 exons.